This 247-nucleotide ribosomal RNA is filed under the name uncultured archaeon. Its description in RNAcentral is "partial 16S ribosomal RNA". It matches the Rfam family "Archaeal small subunit ribosomal RNA", at positions 691 to 937 of the family's 1478-position model. The record is from RNAcentral.
CCGACGGUGAGGGGUGAAAGCUGGGGGCACGAACCGGAUUAGAUACCCGGGUAGUCCCAGCCGUAAACGAUGCUCGCUAGGUGUCUGGGAUGGUGCGACCGUUUCAGGUGCCGCAGGGAAGCCGUGAAGCGAGCCACCUGGGAAGUACGGCUGCAAGGCUGAAACUUAAAGGAAUUGGCGGGGGAGCACUACAACGGGUGGAGCCUGCGGUUUAAUUGGACUCAACGCCGGAAAACUCACCUGGGGC